This 107-nucleotide small nuclear RNA is filed under the name Myotis davidii. Lineage: Eukaryota; Metazoa; Chordata; Mammalia; Chiroptera; Vespertilionidae. The record is from RNAcentral.
GUGCUCGCUUCAGCAGCACAUAAUACUAAAAUUGGAACGAUACAGAGAGAUUAGCAUGGCCCCUGCGCAAGGAUGACACGCAAAUUCGUGAAGCAUGUCAUAUUUUU